CAAAGGCUUGGUCCUGACUUUAUUAUCAGCUUUAACUGAACUUACACAUGCAAGUAUCCGCACCCCCGUGAGAAUGCCCUCAGUCCCCUGCCUGGGAACAAGGAGCUGGUAUCAGGCACAAUUUUAGCCCACGACACCUUGUUUAGCCACACCCCCAAGGGAACUCAGCAGUGACAGAUUUUAAGCCAUAAGUGAAAACUUGACUUAGUAAAAGCUAAGAGGGCCGGUAAAACUCGUGCCAGCCACCGCGGUUAUACGAGAGGCCCAAGUUGAUUAUUUACGGCGUAAAGAGUGGUUAGGGAAGAAUAAGUACUAAAGCCGAAUGUUUUUAAAGCUGUUAUACGCACCCAAAACCCAGAAGUCCAACCACGAAAGUGGCUUUACUAAACCCUGAACCCACGAAAGCUAGGGAACAAACUGGGAUUAGAGACCCCACUAUGCCUAGCCGUAAACAUUGAUAGAUUAAUACACCCCCUAUCCGCCCGGGAACUACGAGCACCAGCUUAAAACCCAAAGGACUUGGCGGUGCUUUAGAUCCUACUAGAGGAGCCUGUUCUAGAACCGAUAACCCCCGUUCAACCUCACCUUUCCUUGUUCUUUCCCGCCUAUAUACCGCCGUCGUCAGCCCACCCUAUGAAGGUCUAAAAGUAGGCUAAAUUGGCACAGCCCAGAACGUCAGGCCGAGGUGUAGCGUAUGGAAGGGGAAGAAAUGGGCUACAUUCCCUAUAUUAGGGCACACGAAUGGUAUGCUGAAACGCACAUCUUGAAGGAGGAUUUAGCAGUAAGCAGGAAGUAGAGCGUCCUGCUGAAAUUGGCUCUGAAGCGCGCACAUACCGCCCGUCACUCUCCCCAAAAAAUAUCCCCUAAUUAUUUAAAACCUUAGAGCAAUAAAGGGGAGGCAAGUCGUAACAUGGUAAGUGUACCGGAAGGUGCACUUGGAUAAACAAU
Molecule: non-coding RNA, 948 nt
Filed under: Gymnodraco acuticeps
Lineage: Eukaryota; Metazoa; Chordata; Actinopteri; Perciformes; Bathydraconidae
Description: 12S ribosomal RNA
Rfam family: Bacterial small subunit ribosomal RNA
Source: RNAcentral